Molecule: non-coding RNA, 179 nt
Organism: Paenibacillus sp. Soil522
Lineage: Bacteria; Bacillati; Bacillota; Bacilli; Caryophanales; Paenibacillaceae
Source: Rfam
AGUACCUUUAACUCAGUCCCGAGAGGCUGGCAAGGUAGCGUGAAAUACAGGUCAAUAGAAGAGAAGAAUAGGACAUCCAAAUGCGCGGCUUUCUGUGACGAAAGCCGCGAUGGCAUGUACCCUAUCUCUUCAUGACUUUUCACAAGCUCCUUGCGAUUUAUGCAAGGAGCUUUUUUUGU